Molecule: ribosomal RNA, 497 nt
Filed under: uncultured bacterium
Lineage: Bacteria
Description: partial 16S ribosomal RNA
Rfam family: Bacterial small subunit ribosomal RNA
Source: RNAcentral
GAUGAACGCUGGCGGCGUGCCUAAUACAUGCAAGUCGAGCGAACAGACGAGGAGCUUGCUCCUCUGCCGUUAGCGGCGGACGGGUGAGUAACACGUGGAUAACCUACCUAUAAGACUGGGAUAACUUCGGGAAACCGGAGCUAAUACCGGAUAAUAUAUUGAACCGCAUGGUUCAAUAGUGAAAGACGGUUUUGCUGUCACUUAUAGAUGGAUCCGCGCCGCAUUAGCUAGUUGGUAAGGUAACGGCUUACCAAGGCAACGAUGCGUAGCCGACCUGAGAGGGUGAUCGGCCACACUGGAACUGAGACACGGUCCAGACUCCUACGGGAGGCAGCAGUAGGGAAUCUUCCGCAAAGGGCGAAAGCCUGACGGAGCAACGCCGCGUGAGUGAUGAAGGUCUUCGGAUCGGAAAACUCUGUUAGUAGGGAAGAACAAAUGUGUAAGUAACUAUGCACGUCUUGACGGUACCUAAUCAGAAAGCCACGGCUAACUACGUG